AACAAGAUGGCUGAUAUAGGCAAUAAAUUGUAAAUUUAUUUAUGAAUAAAAAUUCUCUUGUUAA
RNAcentral lists this transfer RNA (64 nucleotides) under Chanohirata hamata. RNAcentral describes it as "tRNA-Tyr". Lineage: Eukaryota; Metazoa; Arthropoda; Insecta; Hemiptera; Cicadellidae. The record is from RNAcentral.